UUCACCUUUGUUUAUAGGUAUUUAACGUGAGGAAUUUUAUACUUUUGGAGUGGAGCUAUCAAAUAUAUAUUAUGAGUUUCUAAAACAUCUAUUAUAAGGAGUUGAAGAGAGCUUCCUCUGCCCCAGCAGAUUCUGAGAAAACCAACCAGCAGAGAACAUGAACAAAUAUAGUGACAAGAAAGGGUGGAGCUGAGUACACCACACAUGGAUAUGAUGGUCUCCCCUAUGUUCUUUUUGGCAAUCCACUUAAUCACUGACUCAACUUUGAAUGGGGCGCUUCUGAUGCACAGAUGGUGGCGGUGAAGCAGCAGGCCCGAGAGAGCGUGCAGGGGAGGAAGGAGUUCCUGGUGGAGGUGCUGAUACUGGCGGUGCUCAGCCACCCUAACUUCGUCAGCCUGAUCGGCUUCUGCGCGCAUGGGACAAGCGGCUGCUGUUGUACGAGUACAUGCCCUUCGGCAGCCUGGAGAGUCAUCUCUUUGGUAAUACUUCUCAAAAUUAUUUAGACUUGCUAAUAGAGCAUUCGAUGUUUAGCUUCUGCCAAUCUGUACAUUCUGUUCUUAGAUUUAUUUUCCCUCAAUACCUUGUUUAGUACAAGGAAGGACUGAUAUUAU
Long non-coding RNA from Triticum dicoccoides, 611 nucleotides. RefSeq lists it as uncharacterized. The transcript is spliced from 3 exons. Lineage: Eukaryota; Viridiplantae; Streptophyta; Magnoliopsida; Poales; Poaceae. The record is from RefSeq and is a predicted model, not a curated record.